This 872-nucleotide ribosomal RNA is filed under the name Bifidobacterium pseudolongum. RNAcentral's name for it is "bacterial SSU rRNA". It matches the Rfam family "Bacterial small subunit ribosomal RNA", at positions 68 to 936 of the family's 1533-position model. Lineage: Bacteria; Bacillati; Actinomycetota; Actinomycetes; Bifidobacteriales; Bifidobacteriaceae. The record is from RNAcentral.
AUCCCUGGCAGCUUGCUGCCGGGGUGAGAGUGGCGAACGGGUGAGUAAUGCGUGACCGACCUGCCCCAUGCACCGGAAUAGCUCCUGGAAACGGGUGGUAAUGCCGGAUGUUCCACAUGAGCGCAUGCGAGUGUGGGAAAGGCUUUUUGCGGCAUGGGAUGGGGUCGCGUCCUAUCAGCUUGUUGGUGGGGUAACGGCCUACCAAGGCGUUGACGGGUAGCCGGCCUGAGAGGGCGACCGGCCACAUUGGGACUGAGAUACGGCCCAGACUCCUACGGGAGGCAGCAGUGGGGAAUAUUGCACAAUGGGCGCAAGCCUGAUGCAGCGACGCCGCGUGCGGGAUGGAGGCCUUCGGGUUGUAAACCGCUUUUGUUCAAGGGCAAGGCACGGUCUUUGGCCGUGUUGAGUGGAUUGUUCGAAUAAGCACCGGCUAACUACGUGCCAGCAGCCGCGGUAAUACGUAGGGUGCAAGCGUUAUCCGGAUUUAUUGGGCGUAAAGGGCUCGUAGGCGGUUCGUCGCGUCCGGUGUGAAAGUCCAUCGCUUAACGGUGGAUCCGCGCCGGGUACGGGCGGGCUUGAGUGCGGUAGGGGAGACUGGAAUUCCCGGUGUAACGGUGGAAUGUGUAGAUAUCGGGAAGAACACCAAUGGCGAAGGCAGGUCUCUGGGCCGUUACUGACGCUGAGGAGCGAAAGCGUGGGGAGCGAACAGGAUUAGAUACCCUGGUAGUCCACGCCGUAAACGGUGGAUGCUGGAUGUGGGGCCCUUUUUCCGGGUCCUGUGUCGGAGCUAACGCGUUAAGCAUCCCGCCUGGGGAGUACGGCCGCAAGGCUAAAACUCAAAGAAAUUGACGGGGGCCCGCACAAGCGGCGGA